Molecule: ribosomal RNA, 468 nt
Filed under: uncultured bacterium
Lineage: Bacteria
Description: partial 16S ribosomal RNA
Rfam family: Bacterial small subunit ribosomal RNA
Source: RNAcentral
GACGAACGCUGGCGGCGUGCUUAACACAUGCAAGUCGAACGGAAAGGCCCUGCUUUUGUGGGGUGCUCGAGUGGCGAACGGGUGAGUAACACGUGAGUAACCUGCCCUUGACUUUGGGAUAACUUCAGGAAACUGGGGCUAAUACCGGAUAGGAGCUCCUGCUGCAUGGUGGGGGUUGGAAAGUUUCGGCGGUUGGGGAUGGACUCGCGGCUUAUCAGCUUGUUGGUGGGGUAGUGGCUUACCAAGGCUUUGACGGGUAGCCGGCCUGAGAGGGUGACCGGUCACAUUGGGACUGAGAUACGGCCCAGACUCCUACGGGAGGCAGCAGUGGGGAAUAUUGCACAAUGGGCGGAAGCCUGAUGCAGCAACGCCGCGUGCGGGAUGACGGCCUUCUGGUUGUAAACCGCUUUCGCCUGUGACGAAGCGUGAGUGACGGUAAUGGGUAAAGAAGCACCGGCUAACUACGUG